AAUUUUGGAAGAGAAUAGAAAAGUUACCUUUUUUUCUUUUAUUGAGUCAUUAUGGGAAAAUUAGGAUAUAGAGGGAAUGGGAAAAAUGGAAGAGCAUUAUGCUCUUGGGGCUGCCAAAUUAUAGAGAGAAGAGAGAGAGAGAGAGAGGGCGUGACCUAGAGAGAGAAGAAGAAGAAGAAGAAGAAGAAAAAGGGUUCAAGCUAGGGCUCGUUGAGAGGUUGUGAAAUUUCUUAGCUCGGACCUGAGGUAGCAAAUAGGAUUUCUCUGUGGCACGCGUGGUGACGUGAGGAGUUCUAUCGUCGUAGGGUGUAUGGCGUGGGGUAUCCUAUGGACGGAAUAAACGAUCACUUUAUGAUGCCAUUUUAAUUAUGUUAUGUUUUAAGAGACUUUCUAAAUUAUCACUGGGACUUAAUUAUUUAAUAUUGUUUCUUUUGAACUUUGCAUAAAAACUCAUAUUUUCUUUUUAAACUAAUGGGCCCAACUUGCAUUGUUUUAAGCAAGUCCCCACUGAGACCUUUAUAAAAAGUGGUUUUCUUUAUGGACCAACGAUAUGUGAAUGUUUUAAUAAGUACUAGU
Molecule: long non-coding RNA, 576 nt
Organism: Humulus lupulus (European hop)
Lineage: Eukaryota; Viridiplantae; Streptophyta; Magnoliopsida; Rosales; Cannabaceae
Exons: 3
Source: RefSeq, a predicted model, not a curated record